AGAGAGAGACAUGCGCGCAUAUCAAUAAGCGGAGGAAAAGAAACUAACAAGGAUUCCCUUAGUAACGGCGAGUGAAGCGGGAAGAGCUCAAAUUUGAAAUCUUCAAGGUUCUACCUUGACGAAUUGUAGUUUAUAGAAGUGUUUUCUGUUAGUGGAGUGGCAAAAGUUCUUUGGAAUAGGACAUCAUAGAGGGUGAGAAUCCCGUAUUUGGUCAUUCCUCCUAGCGUUGUGAUACACUUUCAACGAGUCGGAUUGUUUGGGAAUGCAGUCCAAAAUGGGUGGUAAAUUUCAUCUAAAGCUAAAUAUUGGCGAGAGACCGAUAGCGAACAAGUACCGUGAGGGAAAGAUGAAAAGAACUUUGAAAAGAGAGUUAAACAGUACGUGAAAUUGUCAAAAGGGAAGCGUUUGACACCAGUGUUGUUUUUCCGAAAAUCAAUUACGAAUGUUUUAUUUUUGAGGAGUUAUGACUUCAUCGGCUUGCUUCUUUCUUUAUGAAACUUUCUUAAUGCACUUUUCGGUUAACAAGUCAACAUCAAUUUCUUUUGUUGUAAAAGGGUAUGAGGAAGGUGGCUUUCUUUUCGGAGAAAGUGUUUAUAGCCUUGUGCCUCUGCAAUCGGAGAGAUUGAGGUCUGCAGCGUAGAUCCUUCGGGGUUAGAUACAGUUUGUGCUAAGUUAUAGCUUUUCAUAGACAACUUGUUGACUAUGUUUAGUCUUGUAGCUUACUCGCUGAUGCUAUUUUACCUACGCUUAGGAUGUUGAUAGUCACAGCGUGUAC
Molecule: ribosomal RNA, 775 nt
Filed under: uncultured Neocallimastigales
Lineage: Eukaryota; Fungi; Neocallimastigomycota; Neocallimastigomycetes; Neocallimastigales
Description: partial large subunit ribosomal RNA
Rfam family: Eukaryotic large subunit ribosomal RNA
Source: RNAcentral